GGGUUGUGAGGUUAAGCGACUAAGCGUACACGGUGGAUGCCCUGGCAGUCAGAGGCGAUGAAGGACGUGCUAAUCUGCGAUAAGCGUCGGUAAGGUGAUAUGAACCGUUAUAACCGGCGAUUUCCGAAUGGGGAAACCCAGUGUGUUUCGACACACUAUCAUUAACUGAAUCCAUAGGUUAAUGAGGCGAACCGGGGGAACUGAAACAUCUAAGUACCCCGAGGAAAAGAAAUCAACCGAGAUUCCCCCAGUAGCGGCGAGC
RNAcentral lists this ribosomal RNA (262 nucleotides) under Escherichia coli. Its description in RNAcentral is "partial 23S ribosomal RNA". It matches the Rfam family "Bacterial large subunit ribosomal RNA", at positions 1 to 254 of the family's 2925-position model. The record is from RNAcentral. Lineage: Bacteria; Pseudomonadati; Pseudomonadota; Gammaproteobacteria; Enterobacterales; Enterobacteriaceae.